This 475-nucleotide ribosomal RNA is filed under the name uncultured bacterium. RNAcentral's name for it is "bacterial SSU rRNA". It matches the Rfam family "Bacterial small subunit ribosomal RNA", at positions 28 to 507 of the family's 1533-position model. The record is from RNAcentral.
GAUGAACGCUGGCGGCGUGCCUCAAACAUGCAAGUCGAGCGGGGCUAAUGUAAUAUCGCAAGGUAGAACAUAGCCUAGCGGCGAACGGGUGAGUAACACGUGGGUAACCUGCCUGGAAGACAGGGAUAACGAUUCGAAAGGGUCGCUAAUACCUGAUAAUAUCCUUUCAUCGCAUGGUGAUAGGAAGAAAGGGGAAACCCGCUUCAGAUGGGCCCGCGUCCCAUCAGCUAGUUGGUAAGGUAAAGGCUUACCAAGGCGACGACGGGUAGCCGGUCUGAGAGGAUGUACGGCCACACUGGGACUGAGAUACGGCCCAGACUCCUACGGGAGGCAGCAGUUGGGAAUCUUAGGCAAUGGACGAAAGUCUGACCUAGCGACGCCGCGUGAGGGAAGAAGGCCUUCGGGUUGUAAACCUCUGUCAUGGGGGAAGAAGGAAGUGACGGUACCCCAAGAGGAAGCCCCUGCUAACUACGUG